Nicotiana tabacum (common tobacco) is the source of this 4604-nucleotide RNA transcript. It is a transcript of the gene named mediator of RNA polymerase II transcription subunit 15a, with no coding region annotated. Lineage: Eukaryota; Viridiplantae; Streptophyta; Magnoliopsida; Solanales; Solanaceae. The record is from RefSeq and is a predicted model, not a curated record.
CGCAUAAAUGUUUAAAAUUAAUAACAGUGCUAUUUUGACAAUUGUUUUUUUCAUUUUUUACAUGAGGAAACGUAUCCGCUUGUAAUCUGAUUCUGUAUUCUGUAUUUUUCUUUUGGAAAAAUCGUUCUCAUUUUUCUUUGAUCGGAAGCAAGGAAUUUGAUUCGAUCAGAAAAUUGAGAUAUGGAUGGGAAUAAUUGGAGGGCUGCUCAGGCUCAAGCUCAAGCUCAGGGGGGUGGUGAAGGUGCUUCCGCUGCCGGACCUCCCACCGGAGCUAUGGAUUCCGGUGAUUGGCGCACUCAACUUUUACCCGAUUCUCGUCAAAGGAUCGUCAACAAGAUAAUGGAGACCUUAAAGAGACAUCUUCCUGUCUCUGGGCAAGAAGGAGUUCAGGAGCUUAAGAAAAUUGCAGUGAGGUUUGAGGAAAAGAUCUAUACGGCUGCUACAAGUCAGCAAGAUUAUCUGCGGAAAAUAUCUUUGAAGAUGCUAACUAUGGAGACCAAAUCUCAAAAUCCUAUUAAUAAUUCUAUGCAGCCCAAUGCUGCAAGUAGUGGUCAGAAUGCCCUUGGGCCAGGAUCCCACAGCAUGCAGUCCCAAGUUAACAGCCAAGCACAGCAACUUCCUGUACCUAUGGUGGCCAAUCAAACUCAAACACGGCAACCACUGUUGCAGCAGAACAUUCAGAACAACAUGGCAUCAACUGGGCUGCAAAAUUCUGCAAGUUUGACUCCUGCACUUCCUCCUGUGAGCAAUUUGACGCAGGCUACCAUGCCAAAUGUCAUGGGCCAGAAUGCAAAUUUGCAGACCAUGCAAAACAUGCAAAAUGUUGGUCAAAACUCCGUAGGAAAUGCCAUUGGGCAAGGCAUGCCUUCCAAUAUGGUUGCUAAUUCUCAGAGGCAAAUGCAGGGGAGACAACAGGUUGUUUCUCAACAGCAACAGCAGCAGUCCCAGACAUCACAACAAUAUCUUUACCAGCAGCAGAUGCAUCAUCAAAUGAUGAAGCAGAAAUUUCAGCCAGGAAGCACGCAACAGUCCAUGAUGCAAUCUCACAUGCAACAGCAGCAGCAGCAACAGCCGCAGGACCAGCAGCAGCAGCAACAACAACAACAACAACAACAACAACAGCAACAAAACCUUCUACAGCCUACUCAGAUACAAUCUUCUCAGCAAACUAUGAUGCAACCUUCUUCAAUGCAAUCGACUUCUUUGUCCAACCUUCAGCAGAACCAACAGUCUACUGUUCAACAGUCAACUCAGUCUGUACUUCACCAACGAUCACAAUCAGUUAUGAGACAGCAGCAGGCUCCCAUGCUUCAUCAACAGCAAUCAGCAAUGCUACAGCAACCAAUUUUACCAGCCCAACAGCACCAGCAACAACAGCUGAUUGCACAGCAGGCAAAUGCUACAAAUCUCCAGCAAAACCAACUGAUAGGCCAACAAAACACAAUGCCUGAUGUGCAGCAGAGGAUAGUGGGCCAACAGAACAACUAUAGCAGUCUGCAGCAGCAGCAGUUACUUAAUCAGCAAAACAAUCUUCAAAAUAUGCAUCAGCAGCAGUUGGGCUCUCAAAGUAAUAUUGCUGGGGUCCAGCAGCAACAAUUGACUGGAAGUCAACAACCUGGCAACUCUGGCGUGCCAUCUAAUCAGCACCCUAUCCAUAUGUUGCAACAAUCAAAAGUUCCUCUACAGCAACAAAUGCUGCAGGGUGGUACAACCUUGUUACCAAGUCAAGGUCAACAAUCUCAGUCGCAGCCAGCGCAACAGCAAAUGAUGUCUCAGAGUCAAUCACAACCAGGACAAUUACAACCACCUUUGGGUUUGCAGCAACAGACAAAUCAAUUGCAAAGGGAAAUGCAACAGAGGCUUCAAACAUCAGGCCCCUUGCUUCAACAGCAGAAUGUAAUGGAACAGCAGAAGCAGCUAUAUCAACCACAAAGAGCCGCACCAGAAGCCUCAUCAACAUCUUUAGAUUCUACAGCUCAGACGGGAAAUGCAAAUGCAGCUGAUUUGCAGGAGGAGGUUUACCAGAAGAUCAAGUCUAUGAGGGAGAUGUAUUUACCAGAGCUCAAUGAUCUAUACCAGAAAAUUGCUGCUAAAGUGCAGCAGCAUGAUUCUCUUCCUCAGCGCCCUCAGACUGAGCAAAUUGAAAAGCUCAAGGUGUUCAAGAUGACGCUGGAACGUGUUGUGGUAUUCUUGCGGCUUAACAAGCAUGAUAUUCAACCUUCUCACAAGGAGAAACUGCUUCAGGUUGAGAAGCACAUAAGUUUCUUUCUUAAUUCCAAUAGGCCGCGCAAACCUACUCCUCCAUUGCAAGGGCAACUUCCUCAGCCUUCCAUGCAGCUUCAGCAACCACAAUCUCUUGAUGGCCAAGGUAAUCCACCUAUGCAACCCGUACAGGGUUCCAUGGCAGCAAUGCAGCAGAAUAAUAUCACCAACUUGCAGCAUAAUUCCUUGUCUGGUGUACCAACAAUUUCCAACUCUCAGCAACACAUGGUAAAUACAGUACAGUCUGGUUCCACUGUGGAUUUGGGACAGGGUAAUUCAUUGAACUCACUGCAGCAGGUGGCUACUGGCUCUUUACAACAGAAUCCUGUUAACAGUCCUCAACAGGUAAACAUAAGCUCAUUAAAUUCACACAGUGGAACAAACCCUGUGCAGGCAAACCUUGGUUCCCUACAGCCAAACUCAAACGUCCUACAGCAGUCACUUCCUAAACAGCACGAGCAGCAAAUGUUGCAGAACCAGCAAUUAAGACAGCAGUACCACCAGCGGCAGAUGCAGCAGCAACUUUAUAAUAGACAGCAGUUCAUGCAACAGCAGCAAGCAAAGCAACAGCAGACCGCGCAAUUGCCAGCCCACCAGAUGUCACAGCUUCACCAGAUGAAUGAUGCUAAUGACCUAAAGAUGAGGCAGCAAAUGGGACUGAAACCGGGAGUUUUACAGCAACAGCAGUCAGUUGGCCAGCGUGUCGGAUCUCAUCAUCCACAAUUGAAGCCAGGGAUCUCUUCACCUCAAAUACAUCAGGCACUAUCUCCUCAGGUUACCCAACAUCCUUCUCCGCAAAUUGACCAACAGAAUAUGUUGGCAUCUCUUACCAAAAGUGGGACUCCUCUCCUAUCCGCAAGCUCACCAUUUGUUGUCCCAUCUCCUUCAACUCCCUUGGCUCCAUCUCCAAUGCCAGGGGAUUCGGAAAAAGUUAGUGCUGGCCUUGCAUUACAUACAACGGCUGGAAAUAUAAUGCAUCAGCAAGCUACGGUUGCUUCUGCACCUGCCCAAUCCCUUGCAAUUGGUACUCCUGGGAUAUCAGCCUCGCCUUUGCUUGCUGAGUUUACUAGUCUGGAUGGUACACAUGCGAAUGUCUCAGCCGCUGUUUCUGGCAAGUCAAGCGUUGAACAACCAUUGGAGCGCUUGAUGAAAGUGGUUAAAAACAUGUCCCCCAAAGCAUUGAAUUCGUCAGUUAGUGACAUCAGUUCAGUUGUCAGUAUGAUUGACAGAAUAGCAGGAUCUGCACCAGGAAAUGGAUCAAGAGCAGCUGUUGGCGAAGAUUUGGUUGCCAUGACCAAAUGUCGUCUCCAAGCGAGAAAUUACUUUACACAGGAUGGAGCUACAGGAACAAAGAAAAUGAAGCGAUACACAACUUCGAAUGUUGUUUCAUCAAGCAGCAGUGUAAAUGAUAGUUUCUGGCAGUUGCAUUGUUCUGAAGCAUCUGAAUUAGAGUCAACAGCAACAUCCAGUGUCAAAAGACCUAGACUUGAGAAAAACAAAAAUACAAAUUGAGAACAUUCCAAGCAUUGGCAGAAUACAGGACAACAGGUUAAUCAUGCACUGGUUGAAGAGAUACAGAAUAUCAAUCGGCAGCUUAUCGACACUGUUGUAGAAAUUAGUGACAAAGGUGUUGAUCCAAGUGCAGUUGCUUCUGCAACAGAGGGUGGUGAAGGCAUUACUGUAAAGUGUUCCUUCACUGCCGUUGCAUUGAGUCCAAACUUAAAGUCACAGUAUGCUUCUGCACAGAUGUCUCCGAUUCAGCCGUUGAGAUUGCUCGUUCCAGCUAAUUAUCCAAAUUGCUCUCCAGUUUUGUUGGACAAGUUUCCAGUUGAAGUCAGUAAGGAGUAUGAAGAUCUAUCUAUGAAGGCCAAAUCAAGAUUUAGUGUCUCUUUGCGAAGUCUUUCACAGCCAAUGACUUUAAAAGACAUAGCAAGGACUUGGGAUGUCUGUGCUCGCGCUGUAAUUUCUGAAUAUGCACAACAAAGUGGUGGUGGGACCUUCAGCUCAAAGUAUGGGUCUUGGGAGAAUUGUUUGAGUGCAGCAUGAUCAAACAUCAAUCUCUGAGAUUGUCUUCAUCUUUGGCUUUGCUCUCCUGCUGUCUUGAUCCACCCUUUGUCUUUGCUCCUUCUGUGGGUCCCAUUUACUGGCUGCAUAUCGGCAUCUUGAACUGAAUGCCUAAAAUCCUCUGUAUAUGCUGGUUGUUACUGAAUAAAUUUUUGCUCUCCAUUGAGUUGUUUAUAAUCAAGUGUACGAAGUUUGCCUGUUGAGUUUGUUGUUUACUUAAAACUGGCAAUUCUGUGCAGUGUAUUUCUGAACUUUAUGAAUGAAAAGGUUUUAAAUUA